RNAcentral lists this ribosomal RNA (440 nucleotides) under uncultured bacterium. RNAcentral describes it as "partial 16S ribosomal RNA". It matches the Rfam family "Bacterial small subunit ribosomal RNA", at positions 338 to 795 of the family's 1533-position model. The record is from RNAcentral.
CCUACGGGUGGCUGCAGUGGGGAAUAUUGCACAAUGGGGGAAACCCUGAUGCAGCAACGCCGCGUGAGUGAGGAAGUAUUUCGGUAUGUAAAGCUCUAUCAGCAGGGAAUAGAAACGAAGGUACCUGAAAACGAAGCCCCGGCUAACUACGUGCCAGCAGCCGCGGUAAUACGUAGGGGGCAAGCGUUAUCCGGAUUUAUUGGGUUUAAAGGGUGCGUAGGCGGAUUUUUAAGUCAGCGGUAAAAUGUCCGGGCUCAACCCGGGCCGGCCGUUGAAACUGGGGAUCUUGAGUGGGCGAGAAGUAUGCGGAAUGCGUGGUGUAGCGGUGAAAUGCAUAGAUAUCACGCAGAACUCCGAUUGCGAAGGCAGCAUACCGGAGCCCGACUGACGCUGAGGCACGAAAGCGUGGGGAUCGAACAGGAUUAGAUACCCGAGUAGUC